CCGGAGGAAGGUGGGGAUGACGUCAAGUCAUCAUGGCCCUUAUGUCCAGGGCGACACACGUGCUACAAUGGCCGGCACAGCGGGAAGCGGAGGGGCGACCCUGAGCGGAUCCCUUGAAAGCCGGUCCCAGUUCGGAUUGCAGUCUGCAACUCGACUGCAUGAAGUUGGAAUCGCUAGUAAUCGCGGAUCAGCCAAGCCGCGGUGAAUACGUUCCCGGGCCUU
RNAcentral lists this ribosomal RNA (222 nucleotides) under uncultured Thermovirga sp. RNAcentral describes it as "partial 16S ribosomal RNA". It matches the Rfam family "Bacterial small subunit ribosomal RNA", at positions 1163 to 1382 of the family's 1533-position model. Lineage: Bacteria; Thermotogati; Synergistota; Synergistia; Synergistales; Thermovirgaceae. The record is from RNAcentral.